GACGAACGCUGGCGGCGUGCUUAACACAUGCAAGUCGAACGGGAUUUAGUAAACGGAAGCCUCGGUGGAAGAUUACUAAUGAGAGUGGCGAACGGGUGAGUAACGCGUGAGCAACCUGCCUAUGACAGUGGGAUAGCCUCGGGAAACCGGGAUUAAUACCGCAUAAAAUCGUAGAAACACAUGUUUCAACGGUCAAAGAUUUAUCGGUCAUAGAUGGGCUCGCGUCUGAUUAGCUAGUUGGUGAGAUAACAGCCCACCAAGGCGACGAUCAGUAGCCGGUCUGAGAGGAUGAACAGCCACAUUGGAACUGAGACACGGUCCAAACUCCUACGGGAGGCAGCAGUGGGGAAUAUUGCACAAUGGGGGAAACCCUGAUGCAGCGACGCCGCGUGAACGAAGAAGGUAUUCGUAUCGUAAAGUUCUGUCCUAUGGGAAGAUAAUGACAGUACCAUAGAAGAAAGCUCCGGCUAAAUACGUG
RNAcentral lists this ribosomal RNA (478 nucleotides) under uncultured bacterium. Its description in RNAcentral is "partial 16S ribosomal RNA". It matches the Rfam family "Bacterial small subunit ribosomal RNA", at positions 28 to 507 of the family's 1533-position model. The record is from RNAcentral.